UGAUUUUCCAGAGAGGAGGAGGGCUCUGUCUUCUGAGUACUCAAGCUGUACGAUCGUCCAUGGAAUCCUGUCUGGCCUGCGGCUCCUCAAGCAGCGGGUGCUCUCCAGGCCUCUGCGUGGCACCUGCUCUUCCCUUCAUCUGGACUGCCUGCCCUUUGACUGUCAGGAUCCAGCCUGGUGGAACAGUUCCCACCUGGGACAUGAUAUUCUCAUGGCAGAGCAAAAGAGUUUUGCCGCCUGCUGGUCGGGGUUGUCUCAUCUUGGUUCCCCCCUGGAUGCCACCGUGGAGGGAGCUUGCUGACCCGGCUGGAUCUACACACACUUGCGGGCUGUGAAGCUUGCUGGGUGCCCAGGCCCAGAAAACACAUUGACGAGCUAUAGCAGCAGCACCAAGUGAAGCAGAAAGCGAGACGGGUCAUCACUCACGCCGCGUCCUCUGUGGGAUGGUUCCUCUGGUUCCUCCUCCGUCCAAAUCCCCUCGCUCCUGGAUCAGCUAACGCCACCCCCUCCUUUCCUUCUCUGUGCUCCUCCCUUGUCUUCUGGACUAAAGUAACCUCAUGUGUUUUCUAUUUGAAA
Molecule: long non-coding RNA, 576 nt
Organism: Marmota flaviventris (yellow-bellied marmot)
Lineage: Eukaryota; Metazoa; Chordata; Mammalia; Rodentia; Sciuridae
Source: RefSeq, a predicted model, not a curated record